RNAcentral lists this long non-coding RNA (713 nucleotides) under Monodelphis domestica (gray short-tailed opossum). Its description in RNAcentral is "lncRNA (ENSMODG00000036767.1)". The record is from RNAcentral. Lineage: Eukaryota; Metazoa; Chordata; Mammalia; Didelphimorphia; Didelphidae.
GCUGAAAGGAUGACAUCAUCCUGUCUGCACCAUCAUGAGCAGGAAUCCAAGGUGGCCUGGGGAUUAGCUCUCCAGACACAGGGAACAGUUUUGGAGCCUGGGACAAGGAGAAGGGGCUGCAAGUGAUGGGCUGUUCAACCUUUGCCUGGUGGAAUGUGGCAGCCUUUAGCUCUGGCCAGGGAUCUUCUCAGUGGCCAGUUGAUAUCUGUUUAAACACCAGCAAAGCAGCCCUCUUCUCCAAGAACUUGGCCUGUAAUGUAUAUCAUCAGAGAGACACCCCAUCCUGGGUCUCUUGGUAAUAAUGAUUUUGGCCCAUCGUGCAAGGCAAGUAAUUGUGUUCAGUCUUUCCCUUUGUUAACAUAUCCAAGCAGAUAGUCUACAUCUAUUUGACCUUCUGUCUCACAGCUCUGGGAAACCUUUUUCUCUGUUCCUUAUAGUUCUCAAUCUCUAGAGAAGUGCAUUGCAUAUUCUUACCCUUUGGGGGAAGAACAUUUGUCUCCUAAGGGCUGAAUAUAUAGCACACUGGUCCCAUGACACCUAGAGAAUGAACAUGGAUACCAUCACAUCAUUUCUUCAGCCCCAUUCUGCAUGAUGUCACCCAGAAAUGGAAGGAGGGAUUAUGGUGACUCCAGUAGAUCCUUCUGAGAAAGAUGGUUCUAUAGCCAGGACUGUGGAUAAAGGCAGCCAAAACAAUUUACUCUAAUAAGGCUGCC